AGCAGCCGCGGUAAUUCCAGCUCCAAUAGCGUAUAUUAAAGUUGUUGCAGUUAAAAAGCUCGUAGUUGAAUUUCGGGGUCUGUCCAUUGGUCGGGCUUCACGGUCCGUACUGGUGAGAUGGGUUCCUACCUUCUGAAUAACCGGCAUGCCAUUCAGUUGGUGUGCCGGGGAAGCAGAGCUAUUACCUUGAAAAAAUUAGAGUGCUUAAAGCAGGCUAUUGCUUGAAUAGAUUAGCAUGGAAUAAUAAAAUAGGACGGUAUGGUUCUAUUUUGUUGGUUUCUAGGAUCACCGUAAUGAUUAAUAGGGAUAGUUGGGGGCAUUAGUAUUCAAUUGUCAGAGGUGAAAUUCUUGGAUUUAUUGAAGACUAACUUCUGCGAAAGCAUUUGCCAAGGAUGUUUUCAUUAAUCAAGAACGAAAGUUAGGGGAUCGAAGACGAUCAGAUACCGUCGUAAUCUUAACCAUAAACUAUGCCGACUAGGGAUCGGACGAUGUUAAUUUUUUAAUGACUCGUUCGGCGCCU
This 520-nucleotide ribosomal RNA is filed under the name uncultured Acaulospora. RNAcentral describes it as "SSU rRNA". It matches the Rfam family "Eukaryotic small subunit ribosomal RNA", at positions 569 to 1088 of the family's 1831-position model. Lineage: Eukaryota; Fungi; Glomeromycota; Glomeromycetes; Diversisporales; Acaulosporaceae. The record is from RNAcentral.